GCGGCGGAGCCGGGGCGGCCGCGCGUCCCCGGCCCCGUCGGUGAGCGGCUGCCCGUCCCUCCCCCUCCGGGCCGGCGGGGAAGUUGCAACCGGUUGAGCAGCUCCGAACCCCAAAAAGCGUGCCCUGGGGCUUCUCCUCCCGACCACAGCCGGGCCGCCCCAGCACAAGCACAGCCAAUCCCUGCGGGCUGCAAGACGGAGGGAAGAGGGCGAGGGGAAGCCACGCGGGGCAGGGGGCCGCGGGCGCGGCAGGUGGGGGAUGGCCCGGGGGUCGGGGGACAGCCGACAGCGCCCCGAAGGAGCCCAGGCAGCGGAGCUCCAGCCCCAGGCCGGAGCGUGGCUCGAGCAUCGCUGUGCGAGCCCGCGGCCGCCCCCUCCCGAGCUCGGAGCCGUCCCCUAAAGUUUAUUUUUAGCCCCCGGAAAGCGCUAUAAAGGUCCCGCGGAGCGAGCGGGCCGGGAGACGUGGCACCGCGCUGCCUGCAGCCACUUCUCUGAACUGCUACCUUCAAAAUGAAGAGCAAGGCAGAGGUGAGAACAAAGAAUGCCUUGAAAAAAUCCAGUCGUAAUAUCUGAGGAAUAGAAAUAAUAGGAAAUACUUAUAAGGUCAGAAUUUGGAUGGAAUUUAUGAAAAGUUGCAAAGGGCCCUAUUACAUUUGAAUCUAGAUCUAGGAAUUUUAAUUUUAUACAUAAUAAAGAUAUCAGUGAAUCUUCUCCUCUACUUUGGAUGAGAAUGCAUUCUGCUGUCUUUAGCCUUGCACAACUUUCUUAUACUAAUUGUACUUUCUUAUAACUAAUGUACAUUCAGCUUAAUUCUUUAGUUGUUAGACCUAAGACACCUCCUCACAUUAAGCUAGAGUAUGAAUAUAUUAAACCAUUUGUUGUUCCUCUCUGUUUGCUGGCCCAUAAUUAUAAAUAUUAGAUCCUUGCAUUUCUACAAAGUUUUUUUGUGCAUCCUGGCACUUCUGGAUUUAGCAGCUGCUCUGCCUGUCUGCAUUUGAGGUCAAACAUUUAAGUGUCAACUAAACGUGAGGGAGGUUUCCCUACCAAGUGUCAUUUACAAGAGCAGAUGCUGCAGGCUGUGAAUUAGGCACAGUGGAUAUUAGUCUCAUGUCAUCUAUUGACUGCUAUUAAUAACCCUGUUUACAUCUGAUCCCUGCCCCAAAUUCCUCCCAUAUGGUACUCAAGUACCAUUUUCUUACGUUUUCCAAAGGUCACCUAUCAUCAGCACCAAGAACAGACCACAGGUCACGUGACACAGCACCACCACUGUGCAAAAUCUGUGUUGAGCUAAACUCUCUGCAGUCAUACCUUUAGUUUUAUGCCAUGCUCUGUCCCAAAGUAGUGCUCAGAACAGAGGCAUCCCACCAUUUCCUAGGCAGUUGAAAACUUUGCUCGCAAAGUAAAGUGCACUUGUUCAUUGCAGGCAGACCGUUUAAAAAUGUACAGCUAUCUUCUAUGUUGUUCUUCCAUUCAAAUCUGCAUCAUAACUUUGUCAGCAGGCUGAUAUUCAAUGAUGAGAGGAAGUAGGAAGCAGUAGAAUUAACAUCCACUGGGUGAUCCCAGUUCUAGUACUACCUAACAUUAGAGUGUUUGACUAACUGAUUGCCCUUAGCAUUCUGCUAGCAUCAGAUGCAUGGUAUGAGUUAAAUUAAUUAAAUUUCUGUUCCUCUUAUUGCUUUCCAUAGCCUGAAACAGUUGUAAUUACUGAAAUAAUUUAAAUCAGAAACACUGUAUUCAAAAUGCUUUAAUUGAUUUUCUUUGUAUUUUUGUUAAUAAAAACUGCUCUGUUAAAAGUA
This is a long non-coding RNA of Numida meleagris (helmeted guineafowl), 1796 nucleotides long. RefSeq lists it as uncharacterized. The record is from RefSeq and is a predicted model, not a curated record. The transcript has 3 exons. NCBI's taxonomy places the organism in Eukaryota, Metazoa, Chordata, Aves, Galliformes, Numididae.